This 77-nucleotide transfer RNA is filed under the name Armatimonadota bacterium. RNAcentral's name for it is "Armatimonadetes bacterium (anaerobic digester metagenome) tRNA-Arg". It matches the Rfam family "tRNA". From Rfam's summary of the family: Transfer RNA (tRNA) molecules are approximately 80 nucleotides in length. Their secondary structure includes four short double-helical elements and three loops (D, anti-codon, and T loops). Further hydrogen bonds mediate the characteristic L-shaped molecular structure. tRNAs have two regions of fundamental functional importance: the anti-codon, which is responsible for specific mRNA codon recognition, and the 3' end, to which the tRNAs corresponding amino acid is attached (by aminoacyl-tRNA synthetases). tRNAs cope with the degeneracy of the genetic code in two manners: having more than one tRNA (with a specific anti-codon) for a particular amino acid; and 'wobble' base-pairing, i.e. permitting non-standard base-pairing at the 3rd anti-codon position. The record is from RNAcentral. Lineage: Bacteria; Bacillati; Armatimonadota.
GCGCCUGUAGCUCAGUGGAUUAGAGAACUGGUCUUCGGAACCAGGUGUCGGGGGUUCGAAUCCCUCCAGGCGCGCCA